Molecule: long non-coding RNA, 780 nt
Organism: Lucilia sericata (common green bottle fly)
Lineage: Eukaryota; Metazoa; Arthropoda; Insecta; Diptera; Calliphoridae
Exons: 2
Source: RefSeq, a predicted model, not a curated record
UUUUUAAAGUUACAUUACAAUCGCUCUGUACUCGCAAAAAAAAUAUGCACACAAGUAAAUGUAUAAAAAGAAUAAAAAAUGAAAAGAAGAAAAACAUAAGGUAAUACCCUGCUGUUUCUCUUGUUUCCUGUGAGGUUUCAUAUGCCCAAGAUCAGUCACUGAACUAUAAGCAGCAGUUACACAAAAAAGAAAUCUGAAGAAAUAAGAAAAAAAAAAAAACCCAGUUGAGCUAGCUGACGCAGCAGCAGCUCAUCUUUAACACAUCACAAACCAUCAUCAUUGGUAACGUCAUUGCGAGCUCUUGAUCUACCUGUAAAUCUUCUAAAGUAUAAUACACAAAACGAUAUUCUUUCUUUUCUCCUUUUCUUCUUUAUACAUUUUAUUUUUGUAAAGGAUGUGUGAGCACAUUUGCAGAAGAAGCCCUUUAAAGUAGAGUGUUGUUGUUCUUGGUUGCUGAUGUUUAUAUAUUGGUGACACUAAAAUAUUCACAACUAACCAAUAAAGUGGCUGGGAAAUGGUAGUUUGCAGCAGCAAUAUGCACAAAAUUUAAAAUGUAAUUUACAAAAGUUAUUGGCGGUAAAAAAGUAAAUACAUACAUAAUCAGAGACAUGUGUAUUUUUGUUUGACAAAGGCUGUGUGUUGUUACACAUGCGUGGGAAAUUAUAUAAAAUGGGCAUUAAUUGUGUUAAAUUUCAUGCUUAAUCAUUUAUUACUUAUACUGAUCAGGGUGGUCUGAUUUGUAAUGUUAUGAAAUACAAUUUUUGGUUUUUGCAAAAUAUA